GUGAAAAAGACUAUAUCUGAAACUUACACUGAAUACGAAUGCACAACAGAUGACCAAAACGUGAAUGAAUUUAGGAUUGACGAUCAGCUGUGUUUAGAUACAAAUAUUAUUAAAGGUGAGAAGAGACUCAAGGAAACACUCCGUAAAAAAACAGACGAAAACAACUAU
Molecule: long non-coding RNA, 168 nt
Organism: Haliotis rubra (blacklip abalone)
Lineage: Eukaryota; Metazoa; Mollusca; Gastropoda; Lepetellida; Haliotidae
Exons: 2
Source: RefSeq, a predicted model, not a curated record